UACGUAGGUGGCAAGCGUUGUCCGGAAUUAUUGGGCGUAAAGCGCGCGCAGGCGGCCUUUUAAGUCUGAUGUGAAAGCCCACGGCUCAACCGUGGAAGGUCAUUGGAAACUGAAAGGCUUGAGUACAGAAGAGGAAAGCGGAAUUCCACGUGUAGCGGUGAAAUGCGUAGAGAUGUGGAGGAACACCAGUGGCGAAGGCGGCUUCUGGUCUGUAACUGACGCUGAGGCGCGAAAGCGUGGGGAGCAAACAGG
This 252-nucleotide ribosomal RNA is filed under the name uncultured bacterium. RNAcentral's name for it is "partial 16S ribosomal RNA". It matches the Rfam family "Bacterial small subunit ribosomal RNA", at positions 524 to 776 of the family's 1533-position model. The record is from RNAcentral.